Molecule: ribosomal RNA, 484 nt
Filed under: uncultured bacterium
Lineage: Bacteria
Description: partial 16S ribosomal RNA
Rfam family: Bacterial small subunit ribosomal RNA
Source: RNAcentral
AUUGAACGCUGGCGGCAUGCCUUACACAUGCAAGUCGAACGGCAGCACGGACUUCGGUCUGGUGGCGAGUGGCGAACGGGUGAGUAAUGUAUCGGAACGUACCUUUCAGUGGGGGAUAACGUAGCGAAAGUUACGCUAAUACCGCAUAUUCUGUGAGCAGGAAAGCAGGGGAUCGAAAGACCUUGCGCUGAUUGAGCGGCCGAUAUCAGAUUAGCUAGUUGGUGGGGUAAAGGCCUACCAAGGCGACGAUCUGUAGCGGGUCUGAGAGGAUGAUCCGCCACACUGGAACUGAGACACGGUCCAGACGCCUACGGGAGGCAGCAGUGGGGAAUUUUGGACAAUGGGGGCAACCCUGAUCCAGCCAUGCCGCGUGAGUGAAGAAGGCCUUCGGGUUGUAAAGCUCUUUCGGCCGGGAAGAAAUCGCAUAGGCUAAUACCCUGUGUGGAUGACGGUACCGGAAUAAGAAGCACCGGCUAACUACGUG